CCAAUAGCGUAUAUUAAAGUUGUUGCAGUUAAAAAGCUCGUAGUUGAAUUUCGGGGUCAGUAGGUUGGUCGUGCCACGGGUAUGUACUGGUCUCACUGAUUCCUCCUUCCUGAUGAACCGUAAUGCCAUUAAUUUGGUGUUGCGGGGAAACUGGACUGUUACUUUGAAAAAAUUAGAGUGUUUAAAGCAGGCUAACGCCUGAAUACAUUAGCAUGGAAUAAUGAAAUAGGACGUUCGAUCCUAUUUUGUUGGUUUCUAGGAUUGACGUAAUGAUUAAUAGGGAUAGUUGGGGGCAUUAGUAUUCAAUUGUCAGAGGUGAAAUUCUUGGAUUUAUUGAAGACUAACUACUGCGAAAGCAUUUGCCAAGGAUGUUUUCAUUAAUCAAGAACGAAAGUUAGGGGAUCGAAGACGAUCAGAUACCGUCGUAGUCUUAACCAUAAACUAUGCCGACUAGGGAUCGGAUGAUGUUAAUUUUUUAAUGACUCAUUCGGCGCCUUACG
RNAcentral lists this ribosomal RNA (500 nucleotides) under uncultured Glomeromycotina. RNAcentral's name for it is "partial small subunit ribosomal RNA". It matches the Rfam family "Eukaryotic small subunit ribosomal RNA", at positions 591 to 1092 of the family's 1831-position model. The record is from RNAcentral. Lineage: Eukaryota; Fungi; Glomeromycota.